This 886-nucleotide long non-coding RNA is filed under the name Rattus norvegicus (Norway rat). Its description in RNAcentral is "long non-coding RNA NONRATT003112". The record is from RNAcentral. Lineage: Eukaryota; Metazoa; Chordata; Mammalia; Rodentia; Muridae.
ACCCUCAAGUCAUGCUUGCUUCUAUGAACAUCUUUAACCCCCUGUCUGCCAGGAAACCCCCAAAUCCUAUAUGCUACCCCACAGUGGAAACUGUGGAAGCCCUGCUGUCUCUACACCAUCCCAUAUCAGGUUGUCUUGGUAUCUGCCACAGAGCCUCAGCACUGAUUCCAUAAAUCCUUCUCCUUUGGCCAAUGCUCAGCCACCCUCUCCCCUCUUGCCAACCAUUGGGACACUCACCUCCAUCUGUGUUUCUUCAUUUAUAUCUCCAUCUUUGGGAGAAGGCACAGCAGGACCUCUCUGCUCCAAGCUCCUCCAAAGAACUCUACAGAGCAGCUUGCCUGAGAUAAGUGUUAGCUGGUCUCCAAGUCUAUGGUUCAGGCCAGAGGAGCCCUGCUGCCUGCUGCCUUCUUGUGGCAGGAAUGGAGGAAAAAUACAAGGGAAGCCCAAGAGCUUUGCUCUUCAGUUCCCCCAGAGAACUGGGAACCAGCCCUAUGUGAUCUGGGAGCCUCUACCAGCACCAGGCCAAGCCCCACUUGGAGUCAGCAGACUAGCCAAACUGGCAACAUGAGGCAGCUGGAGUGCUACACCUGAAGUCAAGGGACCUGGGUUUGGAACUGGAACUUAUACCAACUACUACCUAGAGAGCCUGGGCAGUUGUCAGCCGGUGAAGCCAGCUUCUCCUCCUCCUUACUACCCAGGAGAAUGUAAAGAUAAGCUCGGACUACAUGAUGGACUACAUGAGUUACUCUUCCUUCCUUCCCUAAACAUGCUGAACACCAUCUCUGUUCAUCAACAGCACCCUGCAAAAUAAGAAUGGUCUUAAUGGACUGGUAGACUGUAAAAUAUUGGUAUCUGGUAAGUUUUUUGUAAUCUGAGUUUACGGCAG